RNAcentral lists this ribosomal RNA (1414 nucleotides) under metagenome. Its description in RNAcentral is "bacterial SSU rRNA". It matches the Rfam family "Bacterial small subunit ribosomal RNA". The record is from RNAcentral.
AGAGUUUGAUCCUGGCUCAGGACGAACGCUGGCGGCGUGCCUAACACAUGCAAGUCGAGCGGGGACAAGGACUUCGGUUCUUGUUCUAGCGGCGGACGGGUGAGUAACGCGUGAGCAAUCUGUCCCUCACAGGGGGAUAACACUUGGAAACAGGUGCUAAUACCGCAUAAGACCACGGAGUCGCAUGACUUUGAGGUCAAAGGAGAAAUCCGGUGAGGGGUGAGCUCGCGUCCCAUUAGAUAGUUGGCGGGGUAACGGCCCACCAAGUCAGCGAUGGGUAGCCGACCUGAGAGGGUGAUCGGCCACACUGGGACUGAGACACGGCCCAGACUCCUACGGGAGGCAGCAGUGGGGAAUAUUGGGCAAUGGGCGAAAGCCUGACCCAGCAACGCCGCGUGAGGGAGGAAGGUUUUCGGAUUGUAAACCUCUGUCCUUGGGGAAGAAGGAAGUGACGGUACCCAAGGAGGAAGCCCCGGCUAACUACGUGCCAGCAGCCGCGGUAAUACGUAGGGGGCGAGCGUUGUCCGGAAUGACUGGGCGUAAAGGGCGUGUAGGCGGCCGACUAAGUCUGAUGUGAAAUACCCGCUUUUAAGGUGGGUCGUGCAUUGGAAACUGGAUGGCUAGAGUGCGGAAGAGGUAAGUGGAAUUCCCAGUGUAGCGGUGAAAUGCGUAGAGAUUGGGAGGAACGCCAGUGGCGAAGGCGACUUACUGGGCCGCAACUGACGCUGAGGCGCGAAAGCGUGGGGAGCAAACAGGAUUAGAUACCCUGGUAGUCCACGCUGUAAACGAUGAAUGCUAGGUGUAGGGGGUAUCGACCCCUCCUGUGCCGCAGUUAACACAAUAAGUAAUCCACCUGGGGAGUACGACCGCAAGGUUGAAACUCAAAGGAAUUGACGGGGGCCCGCACAAGCAGUGGAGUAUGUGGUUUAAUUCGACGCAACGCGAAGAACCUUACCAAGUCUUGACAUCCUGCGACGCACAUAGAAAUAUGUGUUUCCUUCGGGACGCAGAGACAGGUGGUGCAUGGUUGUCGUCAGCUCGUGUCGUGAGAUGUUGGGUUAAGUCCCACAACGAGCGCAACCCUUAUGGUCAGUUACUACGCAAGAGGACUCUGGCCAGACUGCCGUUGACAAAACGGAGGAAGGUGGGGAUGACGUCAAAUCAUCAUGCCCUAUAUGACUUGGGCUACACACGUACUACAAUGGCGUUAAACAAAGAGAAGCAAGACCGCGAGGUGGAGCAAAACUCAGAAACAACGUCCCAGUUCGGACUGCAGGCUGCAACUCGCCUGCACGAAGUCGGAAUUGCUAGUAAUCGCAGAUCAGCAUGCUGCGGUGAAUACGUUCCCGGGCCUCCAACACACCGCCCGUCACACCAUGAGAGCCGGGGGGACCCGAAGUCGGUAGUCUAACCG